UACGGAGGGUGCGAGCGUUGUCCGGAUUCACUGGGCGUAAAGGGUGCGCAGGCGGUUGUGUGAGUCAGGUGUGAAAGCCCGGGGCUUAACCCCGGAAUUGCGCCUGAAACUACAUGACUAGAGCAUUGGAGAGGGUAGCGGAAUUCACGGUGUAGCAGUGAAAUGCGUAGAUAUCGUGAGGAACACCAGAGGCGAAGGCGGCUACCUGGACAAUUGCUGACGCUCAGGCACGAAAGCGUGGGGAGCAAAAGGG
Molecule: ribosomal RNA, 253 nt
Filed under: uncultured bacterium
Lineage: Bacteria
Description: partial 16S ribosomal RNA
Rfam family: Bacterial small subunit ribosomal RNA
Source: RNAcentral